UACGAAGGGUGCAAACGUUGCUCGGAAUCAUUGGGCGUAAAGCGCACGUAGGCGGCCCUGUAAGUCGGAUGUGAAAUCCCUCGGCUUAACCGAGGACGUGCAUCCGAAACUGCAAGGCUCGAGUAUGGAAGAGGGUCGCGGAAUUCCCGGUGUAGAGGUGAAAUUCGUAGAUAUCGGGAGGAACACCAGUGGCGAAGGCGGCGACCUGGGCCAAUACUGACGCUGAGGUGCGAAAGCGUGGGGAGCAAACAGG
Molecule: unclassified non-coding RNA, 253 nt
Filed under: uncultured Kofleriaceae bacterium
Lineage: Bacteria; Pseudomonadati; Myxococcota; Haliangiales; Kofleriaceae
Description: contains 16S-23S intergenic spacer region
Rfam family: Bacterial small subunit ribosomal RNA
Source: RNAcentral